Molecule: long non-coding RNA, 234 nt
Filed under: Ricinus communis (castor bean)
Lineage: Eukaryota; Viridiplantae; Streptophyta; Magnoliopsida; Malpighiales; Euphorbiaceae
Description: long non-coding RNA (RCOM_LNC002339)
Source: RNAcentral
GACAUGUGGCUGCUAAUGCAAUCAGGGUUUAAGCCUUUAUCCCCAGUUGCUGGUUUUGCAAAUAUAAGGGUGAGUGACUUGCUGCUUAGUUCGAGUGGAUGGAAUUUAAGUCUAGUUAAUGAGUUAUUUACACAUGAAGAGGGAAGAAUGAUUAUAGACAAUCCACUGAGUUCGGGACGACCAUAAAACUUUCUCUUAUGGGCAUUCUCAAGAAAUGGUACUUAUACCAUGAAA